RNAcentral lists this ribosomal RNA (433 nucleotides) under uncultured bacterium. Its description in RNAcentral is "partial 16S ribosomal RNA". It matches the Rfam family "Bacterial small subunit ribosomal RNA", at positions 29 to 507 of the family's 1533-position model. The record is from RNAcentral.
AGCGAACGCUGGCGGCAGGCUUAACACAUGCAAGUCGAGCGGGCACUUCGGUGUCAGCGGCAGACGGGUGAGUGACACGUGGGAACGUACCCUUCGGUUCGGAAUAACGCUGGGAAACUAGCGCUAAUACCGGAUACGCCCUUUUGGGGAAAGGUUUACUGCCGAAGGAUCGGCCCGCGUCUGAUUAGCUAGUUGGUGGGGUAAUGGCCUACCAAGGCGACGAUCAGUAGCUGGUCUGAGAGGAUGAUCAGCCACACUGGGACUGAGACACGGCCCAGACUCCUACGGGAGGCAGCAGUGGGGAAUAUUGGACAAUGGGCGCAAGCCUGAUCCAGCCAUGCCGCGUGAGUGAUGAAGGCCUUAGGGUUGUAAAGCUCUUUUGUCCGGGACGAUAAUGACGGUACCGGAAGAAUAAGCCCCGGCUAACUUCGUG